RNAcentral lists this ribosomal RNA (460 nucleotides) under uncultured bacterium. RNAcentral's name for it is "partial 16S ribosomal RNA". It matches the Rfam family "Bacterial small subunit ribosomal RNA", at positions 338 to 795 of the family's 1533-position model. The record is from RNAcentral.
CCUACGGGUGGCAGCAGUGAGGAAUAUUGGUCAAUGGGCGAGAGCCUGAACCAGCCAAGUCGCGUGAAGGAUGACGGCCCUACGGGUUGUAAACUUCUUUUGUCAGGGUGCAAUUGGGUCCACGCGUGGGCUUAGCGAGAGUACCUGAAGAAAAAGCAUCGGCUAACUCCGUGCCAGCAGCCGCGUUAAUACGGGGGAUGCGAGCGUUAUCCGGAUUUAUUGGGGUAAAGGGGUGCGUAGGCGGCAGAUGAAGUCAGCGGUAAAACUUCGGGGCUGAACCCCGUCGUGCCGUUGAAACGGAGGUUCGUGAGUGGGCGAGAAGUAUGCGGAAUGCGUGGUGUAGCGGUGAAAUGCAUAGAUAUCACGCAGAACUCCGAUUGCGAAGGCAGCAUACCGGCGCCCAACUGACGCUGAGGAGCGAAAGCGUGGGUAUCGAACAGGAUUAGAUACCCUGGUAGUC